RNAcentral lists this ribosomal RNA (253 nucleotides) under uncultured bacterium. RNAcentral's name for it is "partial 16S ribosomal RNA". It matches the Rfam family "Bacterial small subunit ribosomal RNA", at positions 524 to 776 of the family's 1533-position model. The record is from RNAcentral.
GACGUAGGAUGCGAGCGUUGUCCGGAUUUAUUGGGCGUAAAGAGUUCGUAGGCGGUUUGUUAAGUCUGGUGUUAAAGACCGAGGCCCAACCUCGGAAAUGCACUGGAUACUGGCAGACUGGAGUGCAGUAGAGGCGAGUGGAAUUCCCAGUGUAGCGGUGAAAUGCGUAGAUAUUGGGAGGAACACCAGUGGCGAAGGCGGCUCACUGGACCGGUACUGACGCUGAUGCGCGAAAGCGUGGGGAGCAAACGGG